This is a long non-coding RNA of Marmota monax (woodchuck), 2281 nucleotides long. RefSeq lists it as uncharacterized. The transcript is spliced from 3 exons. The record is from RefSeq and is a predicted model, not a curated record. NCBI's taxonomy places the organism in Eukaryota, Metazoa, Chordata, Mammalia, Rodentia, Sciuridae.
CUGCCCGUCAAAGCCUUGCGCAUGUGCGCAGCGGACCCGAGGCCUAUUGGGUAGUGAGAGCGUGCUCUCCCGACCAAUCAGAGGAGGCCCUCGGCCUCGGCUCUCCCCACCCCACCACGCGGCCUGCGGGGUGGCACUCCAGCCCCCCCCAGGUACCGGUGGAGCACGGCUGCCCACUUCCAGUUCUCCCCAUGGCCACGACCACAGCGUUCCCCCAUCCCGAAGAGAUCCUAAAUGCCGCUCCGUGGCAACCUCCGUGAAUUCGCAGGCUUCCACCUCGCUCAGAGUUCUCCUUCGAAGGAGGCACUGGAGACCCUCAUUCAACCCGUUAAUGCCCUGCGGACUUUGGGGGGCAUACAUUUACUGAGAAGAUACCUGCCAACAAUUCAGGACAAGAGCAGUAGUCCUAAAUGCUGACUGGAACCUUGGAGCAGUGUGUGGGUAGAGCUCAUUAACUCUUACCUGUCCAGUGGCUUCAUCAGGGUGCUAGUUUUUGAAGGGCUUCGGUAUUUUCUCUGGGACUGCAGAUUGUCUGGGAACAAUUUUCCAAUGGGUGGAGAGCUCUUCUCCAGGUACCUUUACAGGAAGACCCUUCUCCCUGGAUUGCUGUUCACCAAGCCUCCUGCUGUGCUACAGGUGCUGAGGAUUGAACCCAGGGCCUCAGGCAUGCUCAGGGUGCACUCUGCCACUAAGCUAUACCACCAGUCUUCUGGAUUUGAGCUACCUGUGAUGCCUAUGUUUCAGUCGACCUUUGUCCCAGAAAGUUCAGGUACACUUUUACAGUUACAAAUUGACUGGGUUAAGAGAGACCAGCCCAACAAGACCACAGGGGUUGGAGAAAGGCAAGGCAGAUGGAGGAGGCAGCCCAGGUUGGGGUCCCCAGCCAGUUCUGGGUAUCAGAAGAGGUAGAUUCAAGGAGGUUGGAGCUGAGGAACAAGAACACAGCCCAAAGGUGAGAAAGAGCUCAAGGAGAGGCUGGUGGGGAGACAGGACACUGGAUCCAGCCUAAGGGGUCAGGAGGGCUUAGGACAUAAACUGGGUGAUCCAGGAAAUUCUGCCCAAGGCACAGGAAAUAUUUCAUGAGUGGAUACACACUUGUUCAACAGAUGCCUUUGGUCCUUAAUCUCAUGAGUUCCCUAGAAGUACCUCUGUGGCAGGGUGGGGUUUGUCUGUAUUUCACAGCUUUGCAGACUGACUUCAUACAGGAGGGGUGGACAACAGUCUCAGGAGGCUUCAAGGCAGAAGAUGGGUAUGGCCCAAGUGGUUGAUAAGCAGGACAGCUGGGUCUUACGUUCUUUGAGUAUAGGAGAGGACUGCAGGGUCUUAAGGUGAUGGGGCUGGUGUACCUACUGGGCUGGAGUCAACCUUGCUAGGAUACCACAUACGGCUGCCCCAGCUGUGCCUUAGCAGGAGUACAUAUUCUGUCCCAGUUUCUCCCCCCCCCCCCCCCCCAUUGACUGGAUCCCCAAAGGCUCAUCUCCCAGGAGAGCUGCUGCUCAGGGGAAGGCAGCAGCUUCCACCCAGAUCUCCUUGCUUCCUCCACCAACCUGCAACCACCAAUGGGACACAGGUGUCCCAGUCCCACACUGGGCUGCAGACAAGCCGCAUAUUCACCCUGUACUUUCUCUAGGGGACUCAGGUUGAAACUCUGGGACGAAGACACCCUGAUGACACAUCUGUGUUAUGUGUGUUUAAUACUGUCUGCAUUGCAUUAGAGUGAAACAAGCACCAGGCUAUUAUUGUUCACAAUGUUUAAAAAGAAACCUUUACUAGGGAGACAUCUGAACACCCCUGGAGCCAAGAGAAGAGGCUGAGGCCAUGGACUUCCACAUGCCUGUACACAAAAUUAUAACUUACAUCCAUUUCAAGUUGUAAAUGCUAUCGUUUUGGGUCCCCCCCCCCCUUUCUCCUCUGGGUUAAAAAGACCGCUGCCUACCCUGGCAGUGAAGCCCCAGAUCAGGAGAGGGCCUGGUCUGCUUAACCAUAUAGGAAUCAAAUGGCCCCACUCCAUCCAUCUGUCCUCAGCAUUAAGGGGCAUUAUACUGGGGAAGUGGCUUCAGAAGAAGGCUGAACAUUACAUAGGCUUAAGUAAUGACAAGGCCUUCUUGUUCAGCUGUUUGUCCACUUUCCAACCAAGGUAGAACAGGUCAUGUAGCCACCAAACCCAACAAAAAUGAGCAACCCUGUCUUGUUUCCUCUGCAGUUCUCAUCAGUGCUUUGGAUGUAAAGAUUCCUCAUUUAAAAAAAAAAAAAAUCCUCAUAACAUUGACUUUGGUAACAG